GACGUAAUUUCCCGUUCCAAUUUCACUUCAGGCUUCAUGUGAAGACUAGAGUCAGUGGUGAGUUAUAACUGGCUCCAUGGAUCCAACCAUGAUUGACAGGUUGCAACUACCCACCAACCACCUCUUUAAACAACUUAACUCACCCAGACUCGGAUUCCCUGAAUAGGGCCCAAGCCCCGUCCCUCCUUCGGAGCUCGAGGACACACGAAUGUUUACCCUGUGCCAAGCGUGCGCACAUCGUCCACGUCUUUCCCACAAAUACGAGGAAGUGGAGUACAAGGCUGUCUUUGAUUGGACAGUUUGGUGAAAAUAAUAGCGGAGUCGGAGAGAGCUCCGCUCAGUUGAGAGUGGGGAAAGAAAAUCUUAGGAAGGACCAUUUCCUGAGAAGAGAGAGUGCUGGAUGGGGCAACAGAAGAAUUAUAGUGGUUUUGGUCCAGCACGGAUCAGAGACAUUUAAAGGAGUGGUGGGGCUACUGCGUUAUCCCGGCCGGGCACCGGAAGCCGAGGGGUGUGUGUGGCCACAGCACAGCCCCC
Alosa sapidissima (American shad) is the source of this 534-nucleotide long non-coding RNA. RefSeq lists it as uncharacterized. NCBI's taxonomy places the organism in Eukaryota, Metazoa, Chordata, Actinopteri, Clupeiformes, Clupeidae. The transcript has 5 exons. The record is from RefSeq and is a predicted model, not a curated record.